This 100-nucleotide non-coding RNA is filed under the name Cellulosilyticum lentocellum. Its description in RNAcentral is "Clostridium lentocellum SAM-I sequence". It matches the Rfam family "SAM riboswitch aptamer (S box leader)". Rfam says of the family: The SAM riboswitch is found upstream of a number of genes which code for proteins involved in methionine or cysteine biosynthesis in Gram-positive bacteria. The SAM riboswitch acts at the level of transcription termination control. RNAcentral also lists the same sequence under 1 other name. The record is from RNAcentral. Lineage: Bacteria; Bacillati; Bacillota; Clostridia; Lachnospirales; Cellulosilyticaceae.
UGCUUAUCACGAGUGGCGGAGGGACUGGCCCUAUGAAGCCCGGCAACCUGUAUAAUAUCAAGGUGCCAAAUCCAACAGUAAACAAACUGGAAGAUGAGUA